Molecule: non-coding RNA, 30 nt
Filed under: Cricetulus griseus (Chinese hamster)
Lineage: Eukaryota; Metazoa; Chordata; Mammalia; Rodentia; Cricetidae
Source: RNAcentral
AUUAAAAAUUAGAACUCUAAACUUAGACUG